This is a long non-coding RNA of Ananas comosus (pineapple), 1333 nucleotides long. RefSeq lists it as uncharacterized. Lineage: Eukaryota; Viridiplantae; Streptophyta; Magnoliopsida; Poales; Bromeliaceae. The transcript has 4 exons. The record is from RefSeq and is a predicted model, not a curated record.
GUCUUAGCCCAGAGAACCAGAUUUGAGCUAUUCCCUUUCUCUAUCUAGGGUUUUGGAGUUGAGAGAAGUAGAAAUAGUGAUUUAAGCUUUAUUUUCCUCUUUUCUCUUGUUGCUUGCUGGUUUGGUGAGUUGGAGCAGCUGUGGAAGAGUGAAAAGGAGUCUUGGGGAGAGGUAUUUCGUGACCUUAGCUCUGUAGGAAGCUAAGUUGAAGUUUUAUGAGGUAAGCUAAUCAUUUCUCUCUCUAGUUUGAUGCUAGUAGGGAAGUUGAUGUUGGUUCUUUGUUCUUUGCUGCUAGCUGAAUUGGAGAAGAGUUUUAGCAGCUAUAAAGAUGUGUUUGCUGUACCCUAACUCAGUGAGAGCUGAGUUGAAGCCUUGUGAGGUGAGUUAUUAUACUAGCUACUAAGUUUGAGAGGCUAGUAGUGAAAUUUGAGUUUGUUCUUUACUCUUGCUGCCAGCAGGUUUUAAGGAUAGUUGUAGCAGCUGUAGCAGAGAGGUUUAGCUGUGGUUCUUCAAUUCUAAUCCCAGGAAAAGCUGAAUUAAAGCUUUGGGAAGGUGAAUUAACAACUCUCUUCUCUAGUUUCAUGUAAUAGUGGUUAUAGUAAUGGAUUGUGAGCUUGUUCUUGCUCUAUGCUGCUAGCUAAUUGGAGGAACUUUAUAGUGGCUGUAGAAGUGGAGUUUGGUUGUGAUUCUUCAAUCUUAACUCAGUAGAAACUGAGUUAGAGCUGUACAAGGUGUACUAGCCAACUUUGCUACUAGUUUUGAGAUGUUGGAAAUAAUUGUGCAAGAGUUUGUGGUGUAUGUCCACCGCAGGUUCACAGUAGGAUAUUGGAUUCCUUUGGCUGGGAUUCAUGAACUUUGGAAGGUUGGUUUGAUGUGUUCCAACCUGAAUAGAAAGGGAAUUCAAGUUUGGUUACUCCUAGGAUGCUUGGGAGACUGCGGAUCACUUUGAAUUGAGUUUUGGUGAUUCUUAAAGGCCGGUUUUGAAGUGCUUCAACCUGAUUUAAAAGAAAGUUCAAGUGUGGAUUCUAAACCAGGGCACUUGGAAGCUAGAGAACAUCUUCGGUUGUGGGAUUGACGAAAGUCGGCAGUGAAUUGAGCCUUCCACAGCGGAAAAAGUUAGGGUUCUCGGCGAGGGGUCAGCGGCUAGCUAGAGCCUUCUCGAUGUUAAAUAGAUGAACCUCUACCAGUUUAUAUAGUUUAGUUCAGUGUUGUAUACUGGGUUUAUGUAAUUGUACUUGUUCUUAUCAGUGGUAAUAAGGUUAUGUGUUGUAUAAGUUUAUGAGUUUUUUAAAGUUUUGCUCUGAUUACCUGAUUAAGUUAGUAGACUUUUACU